This 158-nucleotide ribosomal RNA is filed under the name Fusarium solani. RNAcentral describes it as "5.8S ribosomal RNA". It matches the Rfam family "5.8S ribosomal RNA". From Rfam's summary of the family: 5.8S ribosomal RNA (5.8S rRNA) is a component of the large subunit of the eukaryotic ribosome. It is transcribed by RNA polymerase I as part of the 45S precursor that also contains 18S and 28S rRNA. The record is from RNAcentral. Lineage: Eukaryota; Fungi; Ascomycota; Sordariomycetes; Hypocreales; Nectriaceae.
ACUUUCAACAAUGGAUCUCUUGGCUCUGGCAUCGAUGAAGAACGCAGCGAAAUGCGAUAAGUAAUGUGAAUUGCAGAAUUCAGUGAAUCAUCGAAUCUUUGAACGCACAUUGCGCCCGCCAGUAUUCUGGCGGGCAUGCCUGUUCGAGCGUCAUUACA